This 538-nucleotide ribosomal RNA is filed under the name Listeria monocytogenes. RNAcentral's name for it is "bacterial SSU rRNA". It matches the Rfam family "Bacterial small subunit ribosomal RNA", at positions 401 to 932 of the family's 1533-position model. Lineage: Bacteria; Bacillati; Bacillota; Bacilli; Caryophanales; Listeriaceae. The record is from RNAcentral.
GUAUGAAGAAGGUUUUCGGAUCGUAAAGUACUGUUGUUAGAGAAGAACAAGGAUAAGAGUAACUGCUUGUCCCUUGACGGUAUCUAACCAGAAAGCCACGGCUAACUACGUGCCAGCAGCCGCGGUAAUACGUAGGUGGCAAGCGUUGUCCGGAUUUAUUGGGCGUAAAGCGCGCGCAGGCGGUCUUUUAAGUCUGAUGUGAAAGCCCCCGGCUUAACCGGGGAGGGUCAUUGGAAACUGGAAGACUGGAGUGCAGAAGAGGAGAGUGGAAUUCCACGUGUAGCGGUGAAAUGCGUAGAUAUGUGGAGGAACACCAGUGGCGAAGGCGACUCUCUGGUCUGUAACUGACGCUGAGGCGCGAAAGCGUGGGGAGCAAACAGGAUUAGAUACCCUGGUAGUCCACGCCGUAAACGAUGAGUGCUAAGUGUUAGGGGGUUUCCGCCCCUUAGUGCUGCAGCUAACGCAUUAAGCACUCCGCCUGGGGAGUACGACCGCAAGGUUGAAACUCAAAGGAAUUGACGGGGGCCCGCACAAGCGG